GAUGAACGCUGGCGGCGUGCCUAAUACAUGCAAGUAGAACGCUGAAGGAGGAGCUUGCUCUUCUGGAUGAGUUGCGAACGGGUGAGUAACGCGUAGGUAACCUGCCUGGUAGCGGGGGAUAACUAUUGGAAACGAUAGCUAAUACCGCAUGACAACAGUUAUUGCAUGAUAACUGUUUAAAAGGGGCAGCUGCUCCACUACCAGAUGGACCUGCGUUGUAUUAGCUAGUUGGUGAGGUAACGGCUCACCAAGGCGACGAUACAUAGCCGACCUGAGAGGGUGGUCGGCCACACUGGGACUGAGACACGGCCCAGACUCCUACGGGAGGCAGCAGUAGGGAAUCUUCGGCAAGGGACGGAAGUCUGACCGAGCAACGCCGCGUGAGUGAAGAAGGUUUUCGGAUCGUAAAGCUCUGUUGUAAGAGAAGAACGAGUGUGAGAGUGGAAAGUUCACACUGUGACGGUAUCUUACCAGAAAGGGACGGCUAACUACGUG
RNAcentral lists this ribosomal RNA (495 nucleotides) under uncultured bacterium. Its description in RNAcentral is "partial 16S ribosomal RNA". It matches the Rfam family "Bacterial small subunit ribosomal RNA", at positions 28 to 507 of the family's 1533-position model. The record is from RNAcentral.